RNAcentral lists this ribosomal RNA (558 nucleotides) under uncultured bacterium. Its description in RNAcentral is "bacterial SSU rRNA". It matches the Rfam family "Bacterial small subunit ribosomal RNA", at positions 338 to 916 of the family's 1533-position model. The record is from RNAcentral.
CCUACGGGAGGCAGCAGUGGGGAAUCUUGCACAAUGGAGGAAACUCUGAUGCAGCGAUGCCGCGUGAGUGAAGAAGGCCCUUGGGUUGUAAAGCUCUUUCGUCGGGGAAGAAAAUGACUGUACCCGAAUAAGAAGGUCCGGCUAACUUCGUGCCAGCAGCCGCGGUAAUACGAAGGGACCUAGCGUAGUUCGGAAUUACUGGGCUUAAAGAGUUCGUAGGUGGUUGAAAAAGUUAGUGGUGAAAUCCCAGAGCUUAACUCUGGAACUGCCAUUAAAACUUUUCAGCUAGAGUAUGAUAGAGGAAAGCAGAAUUUCUAGUGUAGAGGUGAAAUUCGUAGAUAUUAGAAAGAAUACCAAUUGCGAAGGCAGCUUUCUGGAUCAUUACUGACACUGAGGAACGAAAGCAUGGGUAGCGAAGAGGAUUAGAUACCCUCGUAGUCCAUGCCGUAAACGAUGUGUGUUAGACGUUGGAAAUUUAUUUUCAGUGUCGCAGGGAAACCGAUAAACACACCGCCUGGGGAGUACGACCGCAAGGUUAAAACUCAAAUGAAUUGACGG